CCAAAAACCUAUACAGAAAUCUCUACGGGAAAAACUCACGUCACUCAGUCACAACAUACACGUCAAUAAAAGAAUAAUAACAAAUGUCAACGCAUGACUUAGAAAAUGAGUAAACUUGUAUUCCUGGAACAGAGUUACGAUGACGAAGAUUUCGACAAAGACAGCACUGACACAGAAGAAUAUUUGGACUCGUUGGCCGAUUUAAACGAUUUUAUGGAUUGCCCCUCAACAGUCUCCUGGCAAACCGAGAAACAGAAGGCCAUCGAAAGUUUAAUCGAAAAUUGUUGUGAUACUACAUCUUUUAGAGGACUUUGUUUUUCUCGUGGCGGUCUUCUGAAUGACGAUUUAAGGAAAAAUGUGUGGCCACUCAUAGCGAGAGAUAACAAAAUGUUCAUAGACAGAAUUUCAUCAGAAGAGAUUAAGCAUCAUCAGUACUACAACCAGGUGGUAAUGGAUGUCAAACGAAUUUUAAAACGCUUCCCUCCAGGUAUUAAUGAAAAUAUUCAAGCAGACCUCCAAGUAAAAGUCACAGAGCUGAUAAUAAGAGUUCUGAUAGCAAAUGAAGGUCUCCAUUACUAUCAGGGUUUUCAUGAUAUUGCCAUCACACUGUUGCUUGUAUUAGGAGAAGAGAAAAGUUACAGCGUGUUAUGCAGACUUUCCCAAUCACAUUUCCAACUGUUCAUGGGACCAGAUAUGGAGCCUACAAUGGAAAUUCUUAACUUAGUGUAUGCACUAGUCAAAAAUGAAAAUCGUGAUUUGUACAAUUAUUUGAUGAGGUCGGAGCUAGGGACAAUUUUCUGCCUUCCGUGGGCGAUUACUUGGUUUGGCCAUGUUCUCAACGAUUACGAAACUGUCAGCAAGUGAUAUUUUCUUGACACCGUGCGAGAUGCCGCUUCUACAUCAAAUGCUCUCCAACGUCCCUGAUAAUCUACCAUUUGAUAGUCUUAUUACUGAAA
RNAcentral lists this unclassified non-coding RNA (956 nucleotides) under Daphnia pulex (common water flea). RNAcentral describes it as "tBC1 domain family member 20-like, transcript variant X1". Lineage: Eukaryota; Metazoa; Arthropoda; Branchiopoda; Diplostraca; Daphniidae. The record is from RNAcentral.